This 286-nucleotide unclassified non-coding RNA is filed under the name uncultured Helvella. Its description in RNAcentral is "sequence contains ITS2". The record is from RNAcentral. Lineage: Eukaryota; Fungi; Ascomycota; Pezizomycetes; Pezizales; Helvellaceae.
AACGCACAUUGCGCCCCCUGGCAUUCCGGGGGGCAUGCCUGUUCGAGCGUCUCCGGGACGAACCCUCGCGCGUGUGGAAGCGUGGUCUUGGCGGCGGUGGCGUGCCCGACUCGGAGGCGGCCACCUCGCUGGAAUACAUGGGCGGACGCCUGCCGCGUGGCCGAGCGUGAUAUGACGCAUUGGCGCUCGUGCGCGGCGAGGCUGCCGGCCCUUGCCCGUCCGUCGGGCGGGGGAGAGCAAGACAUUGGAACUCCUCGAAUCAGGUAGGGAUACCCGCUGAACUUAA